UAGCCUCUACUAGGCUUUGUCUGUGUGAGUUUAAAGAAUAUCAGACAUAGCCUAAAAGAGGUUAGG
RNAcentral lists this microRNA precursor (66 nucleotides) under Bactrocera dorsalis (oriental fruit fly). RNAcentral's name for it is "microRNA bdo-mir-282 precursor". Its record names the gene bdo-mir-282. It matches the Rfam family "mir-282 microRNA precursor family", at positions 15 to 79 of the family's 92-position model. Lineage: Eukaryota; Metazoa; Arthropoda; Insecta; Diptera; Tephritidae. The record is from miRBase by way of RNAcentral.